AGAGUUUGAUUCUGGCUCAGAACGUACGCUGGCGGCACGCCUAACACAUGCAAGUCGAACGAAGUAGCAAUACUUAGUGGCAGACGGGUGAGUAACAUGUAGGUAUCUGCCCUUUGGCCUGGAAUAACACGAGGAAACUUGUGCUAAUACCGGAUAAGUCUUUACGGAGAAAGCUUUAUGCACCAUUGGAUGAGCCUGCACUUGAUUAGUUUGUUGGUGGGGUAAUGGCCUACCAAGACUGUGAUCAAUAGCUGAUUUGAGAGGAUGAUCAGCCACAUUGGGACUGAGACACGGCCCAAACUCCUACGGGAGGCAGCAGUGGGGAAUCUUGCACAAUGGAGGAAACUCUGAUGCAGCGAUGCCGCGUGAGUGAAGAAGGCCCUUGGGUUGUAAAGCUCUUUCGUCGGGGAAGAAAAUGACUGUACCCGAAUAAGAAGGUCCGGCUAACUUCGUGCCAGCAGCCGCGGUAAUACGAAGGGACCUAGCGUAGUUCGGAAUUACUGGGCUUAAAGAGUUCGUAGGUGGUUGAAAAAGUUAGUGGUGAAAUCCCAGAGCUUAACUCUGGAACUGCCAUUAAAACUUUUCAGCUAGAGUAUGAUAGAGGAAAGCAGAAUUUCUAGUGUAGAGGUGAAAUUCGUAGAUAUUAGAAAGAAUACCAAUUGCGAAGGCAGCUUUCUGGAUCAUUACUGACACUGAGGAACGAAAGCAUGGGUAGCGAAGAGGAUUAGAUACCCUCGUAGUCCAUGCCGUAAACGAUGUGUGUUAGACGUUGGAAAUUUAUUUUCAGUGUCGCAGGGAAACCGAUAAACACACCGCCUGGGGAGUACGACCGCAAGGUUAAAACUCAAAUGAAUUGACGGGGACCCGCACAAGUAGUGGAGCAUGUGGUUUAAUUCGAAGAUACGCGCAGAACCUUACCAACACUUGACAUGUUCGUCGCGACUCUAAGAGAUUAGAGUUUUCGGUUCGGCCGGACGAAACACAGGUGCUGCAUGGCUGUCGUCAAACUCGUGUCGUGAGAUGUUGGGUUAAGUCCCGCAACGAGCGCAACCCUCACUUUUAGUUGCCAUCAUUAAGUUGGGCACUCUGAAAGAACUGCCAGUGAUAAGCUGGAGGAAGGUGGGGAUGACGUCAAGUCCUCAUGGCCCUUACGUGUUGGGCUACACACGUGCUACAAUGGUAUCUACAACAGGAAGCAAGACUGCGAAGUUAAGCAAAUCCCUAAAAGAUACCUCAGUUCGGAUUGCACUCUGCAACUCGAGUGCAUGAAGCUGGAAUUACUAGUAAUCGUGGAUCAGCGUGCCACGGUGAAUGCGUUCCCGGGUCUUGUACACACCGCCCGUCACACCAUGGGAGUUGGUUCUACCUUAAGGCAAGGUUUCAAACCCUUGACCACGGUAUAGUCAGCGACUGGGGUGAAGUCGUAACAAGGUA
RNAcentral lists this ribosomal RNA (1434 nucleotides) under uncultured bacterium. RNAcentral's name for it is "bacterial SSU rRNA". It matches the Rfam family "Bacterial small subunit ribosomal RNA". The record is from RNAcentral.